Molecule: ribosomal RNA, 468 nt
Filed under: uncultured bacterium
Lineage: Bacteria
Description: partial 16S ribosomal RNA
Rfam family: Bacterial small subunit ribosomal RNA
Source: RNAcentral
GACGAACGCUGGCGGCGUGCUUAACACAUGCAAGUCGAACGGAAAGGCCCUGCUUUUGUGGGGUGCUCGAGUGGCGAACGGGUGAGUAACACGUGAGUAACCUGCCCUUGACUUUGGGAUAACUUCAGGAAACUGGGGCUCAUACCGGAUAGGAGCUCCUGCUGCAUGGUGGGGGUUGGAAAGUUUCGGCGGUUGUGGAUGGACUCGCGGCUUAUCAGCUUGUUGGUGGGGUAGUGACUUACCAAGGCUUUGACGGGUAGCCGGCCUGAGAGGGUGACCGGCCACAUUGGGACUGAGAGACGGCCCAGACGCCUACGGGAGGCAGCAGGGGGGAAUAUGGCACAAUGGGCGGAAGCCUGAUGCAGCAACGCCGCGUGCGGGAUGACGGCCUUCGGGUUGUAAACCGCUUUCGCCUGUGACGAAGAGUGAGUGACGGUAAUGGGUAAAGAAGCACCGGCUAACUACGUG